UUUUUUGUACUGCGGCACGCCGCACAGGUUCAAGAUUCUCAAGAAUAUAGGGACGGCCUUGCGACCUUUUGAUAAUGAUCCAUCCGCAGGUUCACCUACGGAUA
This 104-nucleotide unclassified non-coding RNA is filed under the name uncultured fungus. RNAcentral describes it as "sequence contains ITS1". The record is from RNAcentral. Lineage: Eukaryota; Fungi.